Molecule: unclassified non-coding RNA, 26 nt
Filed under: Mus musculus (house mouse)
Lineage: Eukaryota; Metazoa; Chordata; Mammalia; Rodentia; Muridae
Description: oocyte_clustered_small_RNA2505
Source: RNAcentral
UGCCCUUUCUAACUCAGUCAAGAAUC